AGGGAUUUAGCUCAGUGGUAGAGCGGGAGUCUCCAAAGCUCCGCGUCGGGGGUCCAAUUCCCUCAAUCCCUG
RNAcentral lists this transfer RNA (72 nucleotides) under Candidatus Peribacteria bacterium. RNAcentral describes it as "tRNA-Trp". It matches the Rfam family "tRNA". From Rfam's summary of the family: Transfer RNA (tRNA) molecules are approximately 80 nucleotides in length. The record is from RNAcentral. Lineage: Bacteria; Candidatus Peregrinibacteriota; Candidatus Peribacteria.